AUAGCAAAGCUGUUGUUUAGCCAAGGUAAAGUGACCUGCAUUUACUCAGAUGACUCAAUUGCCUUGAGGGAAUAAUUGGAUUUGAGAGCUGAGGAGCCCCACGGACCAGAACUUCAUUGUGCAAAGUGUCCUACAAACAGAGAACAAAAAGACGGUCCUUUCCUCAAGGAAGUUCACAAUCUAAGUAUAAGACAAGAGACAAGACAAUAGAUACAGACAGAUGGGGGAGUACAAGCGAACAAUGAGACAGUAUUGGUCUGCAUGGGUGAGGGGGUGGUCGGUUGGUGAGAAGAGGACAGAUGACAAAUGAGUUAACACACAGCAAUGGAAUGCAAGUCAAGAUUCAGAGGGAAGACGGCACAGAAUGCAUGCAGAGGAAAACCUGGAUUGGGGCAUGACAUGGCAGAAAAUAUAGAGAAGGAAACAAAACAUCCCCUCCCUUCAGACUGGAAACACCAGGAGAAGCAGCUCUCUUCAACUUCAGCUUCUUCUUCUAUCUGUUUACUUGCAGGGUAUUAUUCAGCCACUAGAUGUCUCUACGGGCUGUACAGAGUUUCAUGCAGGGUGUGGUCUGUGAUAAACAAAGGAGGCAACGUUAGAAUUCAAGUUGUGUGAUAAUCUGUAUCCGUCUUUGUUUUCCAUGAUUCCGUAUAUCAUAACACAACCUGCUUCCCGUGACGCCUGAAGUACCAUGUGCAAAGGCUUUUCUUUUGGUAUUCUUGGUCAAUGACAAAAAAUUCAGACACCGUUGUGAAAACAAAAGCCUCACAGACAAGUCUGGUUUAAAUUUUAGAGGGAGGUUUGGUCUGCAGCGGCGGCUCCAGGCACCAGCACACCAAGCGCACGCCUGGGGCAGCAAGCCACCGGGGGCGCCCUGCCGGUCCCUGAAAGGGCAGCAGUCAGGCCGCCUUAGGCGGCAUGCCUGAGGGAGGUCCGCCGGUCCCUUGGAUUUGGCGGCAAUUUGGCAGCGGGUAUGCCAAAGCCGCGGGACCGGCGGACAUGCUGAAGGCAGCCUGCCUGCCGUGCUUGGGGCGGCAAAAAAGCUAGAGCCGCCCCUGUUGGUCUGGUUCCUAUUUUGUUCCAACCACUUCACCCAUCCUGAUACAAAACAACCAACUCCCGCCUUAAUCAAUACUCUGGAAACUCAGAGGCUCUAUGGAGCAUAUUCGUGUGGGUAAAAACCUUUAAAAUCUUCAAAUGGUAGCUCCUCUUAAAAGUUAAGGAGGAGUUACACAACAAAACAUCCCAUAAACUGAAGAGAAAACAGCACCUUAGAACUUAGAACAACUCCCUGAUACAACUAUGUACCUGUCCAGCAAACAUGUCGAUCUGCUGUAUAUUUAUCUAUCUUAGACUGUACGUUCUCUGGAGCAAAGAAUGUGUCAUUUUGUGCGUGUGGACACAACUGCGAUGUGUGCCUUGGACAAUUUCCCCCACAGAAAUCAAUGAACUCUAUCUACAUUUGGUUCCUCCAUUUGGUCCCAGCCGUCUUUGCGCAAGCACUACUUACAGAGAAGGUGUCCCAUUAAUAAAGCCAAGAUCCACACCACUUGUAAUAAUACUGUUACACUUGUUGCUCUAGGUCACUAAAGGCUUUACAAACAUUAAUUUAGCCCCUAACCUGCCCCACUCAAAGUAAAUGAGUAUUACUAACUCCAUUUUAUGCGUAAAACUGAGGCACAGAAAGGUGAGAAGAAUUCCUCUGAGUCAUGCAAUGAGAAAAUUAAGAACUAAAUCUGAUCCUAACUCAGAGAUCCUUGCUCUAACUCCUAGAUAAUACUUGCCUCCUUUGUGAUCAUUAAAGAUGCUAUGACCAUCUUUGAUGUCUUGGCCAAGUUCCAACUUGAGUAAUUACAUAACUGAAUUACUGAAUGCAAUAUUCUUCCCAUCCUGUUCUAAAAUAUUGCAAAGUUUUGCUACACACCAUUAAACAGCAGCUGUUUCCCACCCCCGAGGUAGCUGCAUUUCAGAAAUGGGCAAAGCAAUUGUUAUACAUACACAUGGUAGUUUGUACAACCAGUUAUUAAAAUUAGAAAGAACUUUGCUAUCCGAAGCAGCACGGUCUGGAGAAAUGAGCAUAAGGAUAGGAGCCAGAAGCUCCUUUGCUCUAAUCCAAGCUAACUGACCCAUGUGGCCUGGGGCAAUCCACUUACCUCUUUCUGCCUCAAUUUCUCCAUUUGAAAAUCAGGACUAAUACAUUUGCCUACCUUACAAAGCAGUUGUGAGAAUUAGUUGCCUACCAGCCAUGCUGCGCUUUGAGCAUUUAAAGUGCUAAGUGCCAUUUGGAAACCAGUGAAAAGCGAAGCAGGUAAGAUUCUUAGCUUAACUUCCUCCUCAAAGGUCACACCUAUUACCUGCCCAUGGUACGCAGUUUCUUACAUUUGUGGUUGUUAAGGUUUCACCCCCUCUUCCAAACACGUGUCUCCCACCAACAUAGGUCAAUAGUCCCACAACACCUGGCUACCUACCAGUUACAUUUUUAUAAUUAAAGUGCAGACACGUCUAAAUACGCUAGGCUGCGAUGACUAGAUGGCUUUGGUACUGAUGCCAGCACUUUGAUGAAUGCGGACUCUUAAGGCAAAACAAACAACAACAAAGUCAACUAACAAGUUUCUAGACCCAUUUGUUCUAAAUGACAGAUCGGCAAACAGAGUAAUUUUUUUACAAACAGCUUUUUUUAACACAGAACCCAAAAUAAACCCUGACCUAGCUGUGGUGCCAUGUUAAACAAUAAUUACUCUAUAUAAGGCUUACCAAAUGGGAAUAUUUGUGGGCCAGUGGGAUGAAAUUAUUUUAGGACUUGCACAAACUUUCUCGGGGAGUGGUAAGACUAGCUGUGGGUAAUGUGGUGUACCUAGGAAACAGGCAGACACUUCUUUUUUCUUUUUUUUUUUUUAGGGCUCUAUUAAAAUUCACUGGCUUUACCAACUUACUGCUAAGGGGAAGGGGGAAAGAAAUUUGUUUACCCCUCUAUAAAAUAAUCCUCACUAUGUCACUGUAUGUGUUUUGAGAUUCUAUCUAGGUCUGGCCACCAGCCAUACCCACUAAACCACACCCAAACAUGCAGGAGAACGGAGGAAAGCAGAGAUGCAUAGCAAGGUCCUUGUAAUAUUUUACAGUACUGGAAAAAAAAACCACAACUGGCUUCAUCUCCAUUUCUCACAUACCAUUCGGGCUGCUUCACCGAGAACUGCUGUGCAGCAUCAGAGGAGACUGAAAUCUCCAUUGCCAUGCAUGGUGCCUGCGGAACGCACUGCAGUACAAGCAACUCCCUUUAAGCAGUGUUAUGCCUUGCACGCACUGGUGUCACCACUGGGAUAGCUGCACCAGUGCAAAUCCCAAACUAAGCUAAAGUUUGCACUGGUGUGGUUCACCCUUGCUUGAAACCAGGAUAAAUUGCAACAGUGCAAAUUGCAGUUUAACAAUCUCAUCUACUCUAGGGGCUUGCACUGGGCCACAUCAUCAGUGGCUGGGCUGCUGAUGACUGAAACUGGGGCAAAUUCCCAGUGCAGACAUAGCCUUGUCGUUGGGCUUUCUCAGGAAACACCUUUGUCAUUUGAAAAGCUGCAUCCUCCUUGUGUGAGCUAUAGGGGUCUGCAAGAGGGAAAGGCUAUAAUUGUGUACCCCACCCUACCUCUCCAGCAACAGGAGUCCUACUCCCAGCUGAAAAGCUUUAAAUACAUCAAAUUAAAUAUCUGUUGUCUUGAACCUCAGCUGUCUCAAUCAAUGUGGUCCCCAAGAGCCUAUUUACACUGUCUGUCCACAAAAUGCAGCACUAACAUACCAUCAGAAGGCAUUGUCCUCAUCUGUCAUUGUUAUUG
Long non-coding RNA from Malaclemys terrapin pileata, 3821 nucleotides. RefSeq lists it as uncharacterized. The record is from RefSeq and is a predicted model, not a curated record. NCBI's taxonomy places the organism in Eukaryota, Metazoa, Chordata, Testudines, Emydidae. The transcript is spliced from 4 exons.